AUACGGAGGGGGUUAGCGUUGUUCGGAAUUACUGGGCGUAAAGCGUACGUAGGCGGAUCAGAAAGUAUGGGGUGAAAUCCCAGGGCUCAACCCUGGAACUGCCUCAUAAACUCCUGGUCUUGAGUUCGAGAGAGGUGAGUGGAAUUCCGAGUGUAGAGGUGAAAUUCGUAGAUAUUCGGAGGAACACCAGUGGCGAAGGCGGCUCACUGGCUCGAUACUGACGCUGAGGUACGAAAGUGUGGGGAGCAAACAGGAUUAGAAACCCUAGUAGUCC
RNAcentral lists this ribosomal RNA (274 nucleotides) under uncultured bacterium. RNAcentral describes it as "partial 16S ribosomal RNA". It matches the Rfam family "Bacterial small subunit ribosomal RNA", at positions 523 to 796 of the family's 1533-position model. The record is from RNAcentral.